GAUGAACGCUGGCUGGCAGGCUUAACACAUGCAAGUAGAACGGUAACAUUGUUUUAGAUGGGGUUUGUUUACAGAUUUUGUUUAGAAUAGAUGACGAGUUGCGAACGGGUGCGUAACGCGUAUGGAAUCUACCUAUUACACGAGGAUAGCCCUGAGAAAUUGGGAUUAAUAUUUGAUGUGGUAUUUACGAGGCAUCUUGUAGGUAUUAAAGAUUUGUUUUGGUAAUAGAUGGUCAUGCGUCCUAUUAGUUAGUUGGUGAGGUAAAGGCUCACCAAGGCGACGAUGGGUAGGGGUCUUGAGAGGGAUUUCCCCCACACUGGUACUGAGACACGGACCAGACUCCUACGGGAGGCAGCAGUGAGGAAUAUUGGUCAAUGGACGGAGGUCUGAACCAGCCAUGCCGCGUGUAGGAUUAAGGCUUUUGGGUUGUAAACUACUUUUGUACUUGAGGAAUUGUAUCUAUGCGUAGGUGCUUGACGUUAGAGUAAGAAUAAGCACCGGCUAACUCCGUGCCAGCAGCCGCGGUAAUACGGAGGGUGCGAGCGUUAUUCGGAAUUAUUGGGUUUAAAGGGUCUGUAGGCUGGUAGAUAAGUCAGUGGUGAAAAGCAGUAGCUUAACUAUUGUCGUGCCAUUGAUACUGUUUAUCUUGAGUUAUAGAGAAGCAGAUGGAAUGCGUAGUGUAGCGGUGAAAUGCAUAGAUAUUACGCGGAAUACCGAUUGCGAAGGCAGUUUGCUAUUUAUAUACUGACGCUGAUAGACGAGAGCGUGGGUAGCGAAAGGGAUUAGAUACCCCCUGUAGU
RNAcentral lists this ribosomal RNA (800 nucleotides) under uncultured Bacteroidota bacterium. RNAcentral's name for it is "bacterial SSU rRNA". It matches the Rfam family "Bacterial small subunit ribosomal RNA", at positions 28 to 794 of the family's 1533-position model. The record is from RNAcentral. Lineage: Bacteria; Pseudomonadati; Bacteroidota.